GCGCAGCAGUUGCGAAAACUUGUCAAUGCACGAAAGUGUGAACGGGCUACCCCGAGUGCCGUCCGCUGAGGAUGGCUUUUCUCUGCUGUAAGAAGGCAGAGGAAUAAGGAGAGGGCAAGUCUGGUGUCAGCCGCCGCGGUAAUACCAGCUCUCCGAGUGGUAGGGAUGAUUAUUGGGCUUAAAGCGUCCGUAGCUGGCCUUUCAAGUCUCUUGUUAAAUCCAACGAUUCAAUCGUUGGACUGCGGGAGAUACUGUUAGGCUAGGGGGCGGGAGAAGCCGACGGUAUUUCCGGGGUAGGGGUAAAAUCCUAUAAUCCCGGGAAGACCACCAGUGGCGUAGGCGGUCGGCUAGCACGCGCUCGACAGUGAGGGACGAAAGCUGGGGUAGCGAACCGGAUUAGAUACCCGGGUAGUCC
RNAcentral lists this ribosomal RNA (415 nucleotides) under uncultured crenarchaeote. Its description in RNAcentral is "partial 16S ribosomal RNA". It matches the Rfam family "Archaeal small subunit ribosomal RNA", at positions 330 to 747 of the family's 1478-position model. Lineage: Archaea; Thermoproteati; Thermoproteota. The record is from RNAcentral.